GUCAGUGUUGCAAUGUCAGAUGAAGUGAUUGAAUCCCUGGAAUAGUGGUAAGGCAUGCCUCCACAGGGAUAUGUUCUCAAAACCAAGAAGGGUGAGGAAAGCUCUGCCACAUUUCUGCAACUGACUGCCUCACACCCAGCCUGGGAGGCAACUCAGUCAUGUGCAAGGAUGGUCUUCCACAUAUUCCCCCUUCUUUCUUUGAAAAAGCAGGUGAUGAUUUACUCUCUUGAGUCCCCAAAUUCUUGCUUUGAAGACUUGCCAUCCUAUAAUUACAACACAAAAGAGAAUUAAGAGCAAAGAGAACAAUGCAAAAAUAUAUCAGGCAGAGUUUUUAAGAAUGUUUCUGAGGUUAAAGCCAUUUAAUUCUUUUAAUAUUUGAUUAGCUAAGGAAGAAGGAUCUGAAAAAUCAGCUCUAUUAUUUUGAAUAUCCUGAAUAUGAUGAUGGAGCUCCAAAAGAUCCAAGCUGUUAUUAUUAUUUUGCCAAAUACCCAAUAUAUGGUUUUUAAACUCCUCCCAAUCCCACAGGGAGGUAUUGUACUUGGCGGCUGUAACACACACAUAUUUAUAACUUGCGUGACAUUUGAGUCUUUCUUUAAACUUUAAAGCUGAAAGCUCAUUACCUAUAUUUAUGACAGUUGCCUGUAAGGUAUAUAACUUAGUCUCAAUCCUUUCAUCAAUGUUUAUUUGAUUGUGAAGAGCCUUGGAAGUAUUCUGAGCCAAAUUAUUAAGAAAAUUUGCAUGUUGACUAUUUUGAGAUAUAGCCACCACUGAAGCUGUGACUGUCAAGGCAAUAAAGGAAACCAAGGCAACAACUCUCACUAUUAUAAUUCUAAUGGCAUGUUUAGGUCUCACUAGUUGGGCAUGUAUUUGUUGUAAUACAUGCCAUCAGCAUACCAUGGCUCUGAAAUAUUAGCUGGCAAUAAGACAAAGGAGGGCUGAUGAAGUAUCAGCACUCCUUUUCCUCUUUUAUAUCUGGUAAUGCAAUUAUUUAGAUUAUAUUUGUUACAUGUUACAAUAUAUCUAUUAUCUACCCAUUUAACUUUCACAUUUC
Molecule: long non-coding RNA, 1051 nt
Filed under: Marmota monax (woodchuck)
Lineage: Eukaryota; Metazoa; Chordata; Mammalia; Rodentia; Sciuridae
Source: RNAcentral